This 253-nucleotide ribosomal RNA is filed under the name uncultured bacterium. RNAcentral's name for it is "partial 16S ribosomal RNA". It matches the Rfam family "Bacterial small subunit ribosomal RNA", at positions 524 to 776 of the family's 1533-position model. The record is from RNAcentral.
UACAGAGGGGGCAAGCGUUGUUCGGAAUUACUGGGCGUAAAGAGCGUGUAGGCGGCCAGACAGGUCCGUUGUGAAAACUCGAGGCUCAACCUCGAGAUGUCGAUGGAAACCGUCUGGCUAGAGUCCGGAAGAGGAGUGUGGAAUUCCUGGUGUAGCGGUGAAAUGCGCAGAUAUCAGGAAGAACACCUAUGGCGAAGGCAGCACUCUGGGACGGUACUGACGCUGAGACGCGAAAGCGUGGGGAGCGAACAGG